Brassica napus (rape) is the source of this 1073-nucleotide long non-coding RNA. RefSeq lists it as uncharacterized. The record is from RefSeq and is a predicted model, not a curated record. NCBI's taxonomy places the organism in Eukaryota, Viridiplantae, Streptophyta, Magnoliopsida, Brassicales, Brassicaceae. The transcript is spliced from 5 exons.
UAAUAAACACAAAACCUAGCGCCGUUGGUCUCUCUCUCUGUAACAGGCGAUUUCCGGCGGUCUGACCCUAUCGAGUCUCUCUUCCUUCUUCUCCCACUCGCCGUCCUCUCCGAAUCACCAUCAUGACCAUAACCACCGUCCUCUCCCAUCCGUCAGCCAUAUCCAUGUUGUCUCCGUCCACCUAGUCACCACCGUUCCUCUCCUUGUCUUCUCCACUCAGUCUCAGGAGUGACGAGAGUGGUGAGUCGGAGAUGAGCAGCGUCGGUGAGGAGACAGAGCUUAAUUUUGACUUCCAUGGAGUUUUGUUGUGUGUUCGAGCUUCGAGCUUGAGGGAUGAGAUGGAGUCUAGUGAGAAGAGAAGGGAGGAGAUGGAUUUGGCUCAGAGACGAGGGAGGAGAUGGAGUUUGAUUCAAAGAUAAGUCUCUUACCCUCUUUCUCAGAUUCUGUUUUAUUUCUGAUUUAAUGUAUUGAUUAUGGAGGAAACUGACAGUUUCAAAUCUAUAACCACAGUUUCAGGUACGUUCAGGCGAGAAUAAAUGUCACAAACCAGCUGAGGACUGAGGACAUCGUUGAAAAUUUGGGAUGUGCUUCAUUCUCUUGAUCACAAGCAUAGGGGAUGUGCUUCAUUCUAAGCUGCUGAAAGGCUGUAUAUUAUGGUUGCAGGGCUGAAAUACUAGUGCAAAGAGCUUCUUUUCCUGAUGAAUUCACACGGUUAACAACCAUCAUAUAUACGAGAUUGUCUUAAAGCAUGCUUAUUAUAAGGAUCAAGCAUGAAUGUCCAUAAGCUACAGAUUCAGUGAUUGUGCAACCACUUUUUGGCUAGAAUUGGAAGAUAGAUGAAGUUGUUGAUAAUUAUCCUCAGAGAGAAUAUCUGUAGAUGUUUGUAAUUGGCAUGGGUAUUGUACUUUUGUACCAGACUACAUCGUAUUGUUCUCUUUGUAUCAAACUGAUGUAUUGUGUAAUUUACUUGGAGUAGACUUCAAAAGACUAAUACUGAAAUAGACAUAUGUAUUGUACUUCUGUACCAAACUACAUUGUAUUGGAUUUUGUAUCAAACUACCUGUUAUAAAGCA